GAAGCAAUCACAUCUUUACCAUGAGAUUUACAGGGUGAGUACCAUAUAAGUAAUUACUGCUUCUGUCCCUCUAAUAUGGUGAGACACUAUAAAAAUAUAAAAGCUGAAAAUUAUAUUUCUUAGCUUGUUAUGCUGUUUUGGGUGUAUUCAAAUUUCUAAAAUGCUGAAAAAUCUAAAAAUAGCUAGCCAGUAGAUUAGUUUGCUUAUUUUGGAAGAUUAGAUUUGAUUUGUGAUGAUUUAGGAUGUUAGUUGUGUAACCAUUUACAUUUCCUAGAAUCCAUUUUGCUAUAUAUAUGGAAAUGGACAAAGAGUAGUUACAAAAACAAGAGAAACUUCUAUCAACAGCUUUCUUUUUCUAUGUAUCAACAGAUGUAGUUAUUGUAAACAGAUUUGUCUGCACAUAAGUGGACUUUUUUCUAGGAGAGAGAGGAUCAACAACAACAGAAUGAGGUAAAAUUUAGUAAUCCCUGAGCAAGUUAUUCAGUGUGAAUCUCUAUAAGCUGUAAAAUUCUCAAGUUUCGGCUCUUAAAAACAGCAGCAUGAAAUAGUACUUAGAUCAAAAUAAUAUGUAACAUGUAGUUGUGAAGCAUCCUGUUUAUUUGAUGAAAUGGACGACUAUCCUGUUUAUUUGUAGUUGUGUUUGAUGUCUUAGGCGUUUCCUAGGAUUGGUUCCUUUUGUUUAACUAUCUCUUUUCGAGUUUCGUGCCCUUAGUAUGCGUUUUUGUGCUUUCAAGGGAUGUUUUUUUCUUUUUCUUUUUUAAUAAAUCUCAAUUUCAUCAUCAUGUCGUUGUGAAGCAUGCUAGUUAUUCUGACUGUAAAAAGACGUUCAGAAAAACAGUAAUUCGGAAGCUACACUAAAUUGAAAAAAAAUAAUACUACUAAUAUGUUUUGAAUAAAUACAAAAUGACUCGCACACUCUCGCACAUAUACCCUCUAGGUGACUCGAAUCCCGAUCUAUUGGUUGGAGAUGAAGCGUCUUACCGACUAGAAAAGAAAAGAAAAGAAAAGAAAAGAAAAGAAAAGAUCAUGGGGAUAGAAGCCAAUUUCUGAACUUUCAUAUUGAUCAUAUGUUUUGGAACUUUCAUAUCUUGUAAUCGUAUACCGAUUUGUCUGCUCAUGAGUGAAAUUCUUUUGUAAGAUUGGAGAGAGAGAGAGGAUCAACAGUCAUUGAAUGAAGUUCUAGUAAUCCUUAGAGCAAGUUCUUCACAGUGAAUCUCUAAGCUUUAAAUUCUCAUGUUUUGGUUCAUGAAAACAGCUAAAAUCAAACAAUCAUCAGAUCAAAAUGAUAUGUAAUAUGCCCCUUCGAAGCAUACAAAUUAACGGUAAAAAAAAGUGAGAAAAGAUGAUAGAAACAGAAACCAAUAUGCUGAUCUUUCAUAUUGUUCUUAUCUUCUGAAACUUCCAUGCAGAUAGUGAAAAUAUUGGUGUAUCCUUCCAGCCAACAAUGAGGGUGUUCCCAUUAAGGCCAAGUUUGCAAGAAUCGCGACAGUCGAACUUGUUAAGCACAGAAUUCGCAUGAUUGAGGGCUAGUUUGCUCAGUUCUGUCUCCUCCAUGCCAAACCUUGCAAAAGUCUCCCUCCAGAAAUUGAUGCCUACAAAUCUGAACUUCCUCUCCUCUUCCUCAGCUGCAACAAUGUGUCUUAUCGAAGGGCUAUAGAGUUUGGAUUCGACGUACGCUCUCGCUGCGAGAUCAUCCUUCAGACAAUACUGCAAGUAGUCAAAACCAGCGCCGAAGUAAAAGAGAGCUUCAACAAAGCGGUUGACAAAAAUUGGAGAAUCAACAUUAGCUUCGACUUCAGUGAUGAUCAUCACGUGAGGGUCGAUGCUUCUGAUGACUGUCAUCAAGUUUUCAAGCUUUGGAAUCAUAAACCUCAAGGCGUGUGCUGCUUGAACGACGACUGUUUCUUCAGGAUCUAGGCGAAGCACACUCUGCUGAAGACUCAGGAUAUCCUCGAAGCUGAUCACGUGGAAAGAGAAGCUCAGAUUCAAGGACUUGGCCAAGUUUUCUAGUCGAGCACCUGCUUCCUCCUCGGUCAGAAGAUUCGACUGAGUUGCUACAGCAGUAAUCUUGAGAUGCUGAAGGGGACGUUCAGAGCUAGUAGCUAGAGCUUGCAUUAAGAUGGAGUGUCUUAGACCACCGUAGAGUCCAAAAUCGACAACAUGUACUUUUCUACGCGAUGAUAAGUGAUCUAGUACCGCUUGAACACCGGCAAACUGCAUAACCUGGUUGAAAGGUAAUUUUUCGAUUAAGGAAGCUGUGGCUGAGAUUGGAGGUAUGAGUUGUAGUGGCCUAGUAUUCACUGAUCCUCGUGUCUCAAUCUCGAUCUUGUCACGAAGAGAUUCAGCAAAGCAGUACACCAGACGUUGCAUCACAUUCAUCGAGCCAUAGCUCAGCUUGCUGAACUCCUUGAGGAGUUCACUUGCACAAGCAUAGCGGUGAUUGCACACUGCCCGAGCACACGACAGGAGAUCCUGCACGAGCCGAAUAUCUUCAGACUCGCCUCUGGAGAGGCUUGAAAAGGGGAUUUUAUACUGAUGGAUGACAGCAGAGAGAUGGAAAUCAUUUCCAUUUUCAGAAUUGGAAUGGAUGAAGCUCCUCACGGCCAGCUUGAUCAGCUGACUAACCGACAGCAACGUUGGAGGGGAUGCCCGUUGGCUUUGUCUCUUUCCCUCAUCUCUCUCUAAUCCGCCAUCUGCUGCACCAGCUCUGCUUCUGUAGUUUCUCAGAAUCUCCAUGGCUGCGGAAGGAAAUGGAUACGGCCUCUUCUCUUCGUUUGGCUGCCAAUCUUGAGCCUCGUUGCUGGAAGGCGUCGCGAAAAAGCCAUCCCUACAAGCUUGAAAUGGUGGAGAAGCUUUGUCAAGAUACAGAUCAUCAAGAGCUCCAAAAUGAGCCAGGAUUUGUAGCUCUUCGUAAAAGAGCAGAUCAGACUCACAGAAGCUCUUGUCUUCUUGAAAGUAGUUGAGUUCACACUGGUAAGGAACGUCUUCCACUGAAUCUUGCAUAUAAUUUUCUCUCUCAAAACCCUUGCUAGAACUAGACAUUUUUGUGACUUGAACAACUGUUUGAGAUAUUUGAAUUGUUUUU
This 3085-nucleotide long non-coding RNA is filed under the name Salvia miltiorrhiza (redroot sage). Its description in RNAcentral is "long non-coding RNA (SMIL_LNC006256)". The record is from RNAcentral. Lineage: Eukaryota; Viridiplantae; Streptophyta; Magnoliopsida; Lamiales; Lamiaceae.